Molecule: non-coding RNA, 602 nt
Organism: Cinara cedri
Lineage: Eukaryota; Metazoa; Arthropoda; Insecta; Hemiptera; Aphididae
Source: the annotation of a GenBank genome assembly
AUUUACAAAGGGGGCAAAACCAAAUUGAUUCCCGCUGCUGUCAUAAAACGCCAUUAUUCAAAUAUUAGAUACGAAAUACCAAAUUGGGGUUAUCCCCCUGGCGGACGGACGAUUAAAUAAAAAGGAGAGUGACUACCGUUAUUGAACUUUCCUUGGCAUUACGUAUGAAAAAAAUAACUGACGAAUCGCAUCGUUCUAAAGGCUAUUCCCAAGUAACAAUUUCCGUGUGCAGGGUCGGUUUCCUUUCCCCAUGCCCACAACAUAGUGCAGACCCUAUUCAGGAAUGCAGAAAAAAUUGAACAUGGUGCACGUUUUGGGUUAAGGUGAUAAUUAUGACCAUAACAAAAAGAAGUCGUUGCUAUUAUCGGGCCUCGCAAUAUUUUUAUUAUAUGGUUUAACAAACCUUACAUAAGAAGCAAAAAACAAGAUAUGAACAAGGAAAUGAUUAUAACAAUAAUUUAAAAAAAUAUCUUAAUAAAUACAAACAAGGUCAACGUGCUACUAAAAAUUGGUUAAAAAGUUUUUGAUUGGAAUUAGAUUUAUGUUAGAAAAGUUGCUUAAAGACACAAAAAACAUUCCCUAAUAGUACUUUUCUCGGAAUC